AUUGAACGCUGGCGGCAUGCCUUACACAUGCAAGUCGAACGGCAGCACGGGAGCAAUCCUGGCGGCGAGUGGCGAACGGGUGAGUAAAGUAUCGGAACGUGCCCAGUCGUGGGGGAUAACGUAGCGAAAGUUACGCUAAUACCGCAUACGAUCUACGGAUGAAAGCGGGGGAUCGCAAGACCUCGCGCGAUUGGAGCGGCUGAUAUCAGAUUAGGUAGUUGGUGGGGUAAAGGCUCACCAAGCCGACGAUCUGUAGCGGGUCUGAGAGGACGACCAGCCAAACUGGGACUGAGACACGGCCCAGACUCCUACGGGAGGCAGCAGUGGGGAAUUUUGGACAAUGGGCGCAAGCCUGAUCCAGCCAUGCCGCGUGCAGGAUGAAGGCCUUCGGGUUGUAAACUGCUUUUGUACGGAACGAAAAGGUUUGGCCUAAUAAGCUGGACCCAUGACGGUACCGUAAGAAUAAGCACCGGCUAACUACGUGCCAGCCGCCGCCGUAA
RNAcentral lists this ribosomal RNA (500 nucleotides) under uncultured bacterium. Its description in RNAcentral is "partial 16S ribosomal RNA". It matches the Rfam family "Bacterial small subunit ribosomal RNA", at positions 30 to 523 of the family's 1533-position model. The record is from RNAcentral.